Long non-coding RNA from Nicotiana attenuata, 4173 nucleotides. RefSeq lists it as uncharacterized. The record is from RefSeq and is a predicted model, not a curated record. NCBI's taxonomy places the organism in Eukaryota, Viridiplantae, Streptophyta, Magnoliopsida, Solanales, Solanaceae. The transcript has 2 exons.
ACUGGCCUGAAUGAUUGACAUUGUAUCAAUGCUGUCACUUUAAGUUCAAAUAAGUUAAAAUAAUCAAAUUUCUUAUUAUUUCAACAAUUAGAAAUAAUAGUUCCUUGCUUAAAAAUUUUGCAUUCACUAUGCCUAAAUACACUAAAUGAUACACCAGCGAUCUCAAUGUGCGUUUCAUUCAUUGUGCGUCGAGCCCAAAUGAAAAGGAGCGGUUUCAAGAUCUAUUGCCCGGUGUUAUGAGUACGUUGACUGAUGCAUUAUGCAACAGUGAGAGAUUUGCAGCCCAACGCGGGUUAAAACUUUUUUUUUCUUUUGAUAGAUUUGCAAAUCUAUCACUUCACUGUUGCAUAACAUGUCAGUCAACGUCCUCGUCGUACCGGACAAUAAAUCUUGAAACUGCUCCUUUUCAUUUGGACUCGAUGCACACUGAAUGAAGCUGAUCACAACGCUCAUGGCCGUGACCUUCACAUCGAGAUCCAAGUGUAUUUAGGAAUAGCGAGCACACAUUUUUAAGCAAGGGACUAUUGUUCCUCCUAUGAUGUUAGCUAAUUGCCGAAAUAAUAAGAAGGUCGACUCUUUUAACUUGUUUGAAUUGGAAGUGAUGCACUGAUAUAAGAAUAACAAUAAUUCAGGCCAGUUGUUACCUGGAAGAAGGCCUAGGAGAAAACAACUAAUAAGAGAUAUACAUCUUUGAUGCUGUUGUGGAGGAGUGCUCUAAAGUAUGUGUAUAUAUUUGUGGAUUUUUCCUUGAUGGCUUCCUGUAUUUGGUAGUUACUCUGUGAAAAUUAGGACUAUGAUGUUUGUCUUCCUUUAAUUUUGGUUGCAAGCAAUGACGAAGAUCCAGGUGUUAGACAGGUUCUUACAUCUUAGUGGUUGCAACAGUUUUUGGUAAAGUUGCAUUUGCCAUUUGAUUUAUUGGAAAACUGUUGAUGUCGUGUUUAGAAUGCUCUUUAUGGACUUGGGCUUUGUGCGGAAUGUGGUAGUUCUGAUUUCAAACCGUUUAUUGGAAGUAUGAUAUUGAGACCCUUUCGUCAUGGAGAGGGGACAAAAAGUGAUAUGUUUUGUGUGUUUAGUUAAUCUUAUGACCUGAACUAGAGGCUCUGUCAAUGAUCAAUGUAGUGGCGAUGCAUUUAAAAGCUAUUGAACCUGAGAAUGUAGAUGCAUAUGAUAAUGUUGUUUCUGGACUUGGUAAGAUAUCUAUACUUCAUGGUGAAAGUAUCAACGUAGCCAAGUAUGUUCUUUUAUUUGUUCGUGCAUUCUUAUACCUUCAGCUCAUAUAUGCUUGAGUAGGCACUCCAAAAUUUCAGUUAUAGAUGGGUAAUUUAGUGCAUGCAUCAAAUAGUUUGAGACGUCAUAGUGUUGGAUCACAUAAUUUGUUCCAAUAUUAAUCUAAUAGAUAUUAAAAUCUAAAGGUAGGGGCGUAUCUAUAGCCUCAAUUAUGGGGCACGUGAACCCAUGAUCCUUCCGUCAAACUAGGUAUUUUAUCUAUGUAUUUCAUAGAACUGAUCCAAUAUUAUGUAUUGGCACCCAUGCUCCAUAAAGGUUGAAUGGUGCACUUGGUUCAAUACUUAAUUAUUUACUCAAAGAAACAACGAUCAAUUCCCACUUUACACUUUUUCCUCCUCAUUUCUAUAGUGAUGCACCCAUGUUCUAGAAAUCCUAGAUCCGUCUCUAUCUAAAGGUCAAUAAGUCAAUUGAAUCAUUACCGGAAACAAUUGACAAAGUCUACGAAUAUAGUCAUGUGAUGCUUGGUUUGACUAUUCCUUUCUUGUUUAUUUAGUUGCUUUACCCGUUUAGCUGAAAGGAGUUUUAGUUAAGCCAAUGAGGACUUUCCUAUAGGUGACGUAAUUUGAGUAAUUAUAUAGUAGUUUCCUAUGCUUGUAAUGGCUACACUUUCUUAAAACUAGUUCUUAGUUGCCUAUAUGUUUCAAAUUUCCUAACUUUCUUUUUCUUUUUAUAAAACCACCUUGAAUUGGAGGGGUUUGACUGAGUUGUUCCAUUUUACCUAGUUAUUUAGCCCUUUUAUUUCUUUCUCUUGCUUCAAUGUUGUUCUGCUAACUAUUAGAUACCCCAACUAAUUCUUUUCUUUUCUUAUUUUCCCAAUCACAUGUGAAAAAGAAAACAUUCAUGUAUUUAUGCAAAAAAGAAGUAGGUCUCUAGAUGCACUUAUGUAAAGCCUCCAUCAGCUUCUUCUCUUUAGGCGUUAUGCAAUGGUAAGGUCAUCUCUUGGAUCUUGAAUGCCCUAGGAAGAAACAUUUGGGACAACAUUUUUAUAUUGUCAAAGCAUGGAUCGUUAGGGAGGAUAGAUUUAUUCGGACAAAUGGGGCAAUGUUUAUCAAAAACAAAAGGCACAAGACGGCUUGACACACGAAUGUUUGCAGUACUUCACUAAGAUGAAGGAGUUCUAGGAUGAGCUUGGACAGCCUAAUAUAAUGUACCUGUGAAUGCAUUUGUGGAAUAAAGUAAGUACUCUAUAAAGCUGAACAGGAUCAGAAACUCAAUUAUUCAUCUCCUAUUGGAUUUAGAAUAAGACCUAAAUCUCUGUGAGAGGAGAUAUAUUAAUUAUGAGCCUCGUUCCUUACAAAUUACACGGUUUCCCUUGUAAUUUUAAGUGCCACAGUGGAAAAAAAAACUGCAGCAAAGAUACAAGGAGGAACAAUAAAUUAAACUAGUGAAGCCUCAACUGCAGCCUGCACAGCUCUCUGCACAGCCAAAUUAUGGAGGAAAACUCUAGUGUUCUUGAAACAAAAAAAUUAACAAUUUCUAGCAAGUUGGUAGGUUUUCCAGCUUGGUUGAGUUGCCUGCCUAUAAAAGCUGACAUGUUAAUGAACAGUUGGGUUAAAUGGUCGAAAGAUACUGGAUUGGUCUGCUUUAGGCUUUAUCCUCAUUUACUUUACUGUUUCAAGUAUUAGUUUUGUUACCUUAACUAGGUUUUAAUUAGCCAAAUUAAACAUUAACAUGAAGUUUCUCUAAUAGGUGAUCUCAUAUAAAAUUGCAUUUUUGGUCUUUUUAAUGUUCACCAAAUUUUCUCACUUGCAGGUCAGACAGAGAACUUUUAGGUUCCAGCUUUCAUUACCUUCCAAAAGCUGUUUCAGUUUUUGCAGGGGUUCUAUGUUGUUAAACAGAUCUUGAUACAAAAGAAACUACAAAUCGCGUGAUUAAUGUAUUAAGGCAUCUUCAACAAACGCUACUACCAGCCACCUUGGAAUCAGCAUGGUUAUUGCCUCAGUAUAUCUUUUGCAUCAGCAGGAGUUGGAAUUGAAAUCCAUUCUAUCACCUGAAGAAGAUGGUAACUUUUAACGAAUUCAGUGAAACUACUGCUCCUGUAUUUUUGGUUGUAUCAAACAUUUCGAUGGUCAAUAUUCCAGAAACACCAUUCAUUUGUAAUGAGGUUUUGCGUUGGCAUACUCAGGUGAGGGAGCUUGGAAGUAAGCAAGCUAAAGGUGGAAACUUUUUGUGUGUGUGUGUGUGUGAGAGAUAUACAUACGUGUAAAAUGGGUAUAAUAGAAAAGCUCAAGUUAAUCCUUGCUCCAGAAAAAGAGUUCAGGGUCUAUAUGCAUGUGUGCAAAACUAGUAAUUUUUGAGUGGUAAACAUGCUUGAAUGUACCUUUGAAUGCAAAGAACAUGUUUUAGACUUUUCGAAAGUAGUUUAGUUGAGUUUGACUUCUGAAUUGGUAAUUUGGAACAAGAAGAGUUGGAAAAUAAAGUAUGUGGCUACAGAUUCUUUCUACUACAUGACUCUUAGCCUCUCAAAAAUAUAACUCAAAAUCAAGUGGUAAUUUGAUUGUGAUUUCUGAAGGAGAAUUGUAGCCCUUGAAGUACAGUUCCAAUGGUUUAGAUGGUUUGCAAAAUUGACCUUCCGAUACAAAUUAUGGGCAUUUUACUAAAUACGUGCAACGUUAAUCAUGCCAAAGCUCCAGAAUCCAACAUAAAACACUGUCAAAUUGCUAUGAGCAGGUUAUGUUGAAGGGAGAGAGAAGAGAAGAGGGAGACUGCAGUGGCGAAAUUUCAGCGAUUAUCAUGAAGAUGUGUUCAUUUUUUUGUGAAGAGAGAGUUCUUUGCUGAUUUUGAGUUAUAUUUUUGUAUUAGCUAUGAAUCUAAUAAAUCAGGAGUUCACUUGAGUUAUACUUUUCCCUAUAUGGUUCUCGUAUAUUAUACAGUUUUUGCAGUUCA